UUAAAGGCUGCGAACAGGAAUAGUAGGCUCCGCAGCGGGGCGCAGAGAGUCGGGUAAGGUGAGAGCCGAUGCCAGCGCCGGAGCAGAAUGGGCCUGGGAGCUGCAAACCGAAAGCCGGUAUGGCGAGUAGGCUUUGACGCAGGGGAAGCGUUAUAGUAUCCCAGGGUAUCGCCCCCAAGCAAGGGCCGUACCUGAGAGAGAUGGUCGCUUACUUAUCUUCUAUUUACUGACCAAGAAGGGUGGCACCGCGGAAGCAGCCUCCGCCCCUUCC
This 271-nucleotide non-coding RNA is filed under the name Dehalococcoidia bacterium. Its description in RNAcentral is "T-box sequence". It matches the Rfam family "T-box leader". From Rfam's summary of the family: Uncharged tRNA acts as the effector for transcription antitermination of genes in the T-box leader family. Lineage: Bacteria; Bacillati; Chloroflexota; Dehalococcoidia. The record is from RNAcentral.